UACACAUGCAAGUCGAACGAUGAUCUCCAGCUUGCUGGGGGGAUUAGUGGCGAACGGGUGAGUAACACGUGAGUAACCUGCCCUUGACUCUGGGAUAAGCCUGGGAAACUGGGUCUAAUACCGGAUACGACCGUCCCGCGCAUGCGGUGGUGGUGGAAAGCUUUUGCGGUUUUGGAUGGACUCGCGGCCUAUCAGCUUGUUGGUGGGGUAAUGGCCUACCAAGGCGACGACGGGUAGCCGGCCUGAGAGGGUGACCGGCCACACUGGGACUGAGACACGGCCCAGACUCCUACGGGAGGCAGCAGUGGGGAAUAUUGCACAAUGGGCGAAAGCCUGAUGCAGCGACGCCGCGUGAGGGAUGACGGCCUUCGGGUUGUAAACCUCUUUCAGUAGGGAAGAAGCGAAAGUGACGGUACCUGCAGAAGAAGCGCCGGCUAACUACGUGCCAGCAGCCGCGGUAAUACGUAGGGCGCAAGCGUUAUCCGGAAUUAUUGGGCGUAAAGAGCUCGUAGGCGGUUUGUCGCGUCUGCUGUGAAAGACCGGGGCUCAACUCCGGUUCUGCAGUGGGUACGGGCAGACUAGAGUGAUGUAGGGGAGACUGGAAUUCCUGGUGUAGCGGUGAAAUGCGCAGAUAUCAGGAGGAACACCGAUGGCGAAGGCAGGUCUCUGGGCAUUAACUGACGCUGAGGAGCGAAAGCAUGGGGAGCGAACAGGAUUAGAUACCCUGGUAGUCCAUGCCGUAAACGUUGGGCACUAGGUGUGGGGGACAUUCCACGUUUUCCGCGCCGUAGCUAACGCAUUAAGUGCCCCGCC
This 813-nucleotide ribosomal RNA is filed under the name Arthrobacter sp. RNAcentral describes it as "bacterial SSU rRNA". It matches the Rfam family "Bacterial small subunit ribosomal RNA", at positions 50 to 873 of the family's 1533-position model. The record is from RNAcentral. Lineage: Bacteria; Bacillati; Actinomycetota; Actinomycetes; Micrococcales; Micrococcaceae.